AUCUUACUCCCUCCGUCUCAAAAUUCUUGUCUUAGCUUUGUCUAGAAAUGGAUGUAUAUAAAUACUAAAAUUUGACUAGAUGGAUUCAUAUUUACACAAAUCUAAGACAAAAACUUUGAGACGGAGUGAGUAUUUA
This is a non-coding RNA of Hordeum vulgare subsp. vulgare (domesticated barley), 136 nucleotides long. The record is from Rfam. Lineage: Eukaryota; Viridiplantae; Streptophyta; Magnoliopsida; Poales; Poaceae.